AACAGGUAGCGAAGUGGGCACCUGUUGCUGAGCAAGUCGCUGGUGCCUUGGGCAGAGAUGUGAAAAACGUAGAAUAGCUAAUAAAUGAUACUAAAAAAAUUAGAAAUAAAGCAACAAUAAACUCCAUAAAGCUGCUUAUAACAAAAUGUAUCCCUUGUUUAUAAAGACUUUAACAUUAGUUAUGGUAAAGAUCUCAGCCAUAGCUUGUAGGGAAAAUGUAAUAUUAUGAUAUUUCACAUAUACAAUGUAAUGUAGUUAGUUGUCUAUAAUAUGGGAAUAAAGUUCAUUCUAGAAUACACAAAUUAAAA
Biomphalaria pfeifferi is the source of this 308-nucleotide non-coding RNA. The record is from the annotation of a GenBank genome assembly. Lineage: Eukaryota; Metazoa; Mollusca; Gastropoda; Planorbidae.